ACGGGUGAGUAACGCGUGGGAAUCUACCCAUCUCUACGGAACAACUCCGGGAAACUGGAGCUAAUACCGUAUACGUCCUCCGGGAGAAAGAUUUAUCGGAGAUGGAUGAGCCCGCGUUGGAUUAGCUAGUUGGUGGGGUAAUGGCCUACCAAGGCGACGAUCCAUAGCUGGUCUGAGAGGAUGAUCAGCCACAUUGGGACUGAGACACGGCCCAAACUCCUACGGGAGGCAGCAGUGGGGAAUAUUGGACAAUGGGCGAAAGCCUGAUCCAGCCAUGCCGCGUGAGUGAUGAAGGCCCUAGGGUUGUAAAGCUCUUUCAACGGUGAAGAUAAUGACGGUAACCGUAGAAGAAGCCCCGGCUAACUUCGUGCCAGCAGCCGCGGUAAUACGAAGGGGGCUAGCGUUGUUCGGAAUUACUGGGCGUAAAGCGCACGUAGGCGGAUUGUUAAGUUAGGGGUGAAAUCCCAGGGCUCAACCCUGGAACUGCCUUUAAUACUGGCAAUCUCGAGUCCGAGAGAGGUGAGUGGAAUUCCGAGUGUAGAGGUGAAAUUCGUAGA
RNAcentral lists this ribosomal RNA (557 nucleotides) under uncultured bacterium. RNAcentral describes it as "bacterial SSU rRNA". It matches the Rfam family "Bacterial small subunit ribosomal RNA", at positions 102 to 694 of the family's 1533-position model. The record is from RNAcentral.